Molecule: long non-coding RNA, 1094 nt
Filed under: Calidris pugnax (ruff)
Lineage: Eukaryota; Metazoa; Chordata; Aves; Charadriiformes; Scolopacidae
Description: lncRNA (ENSCPUG00000002190.1)
Source: RNAcentral
CUGUGGGGCUCAGACACCCCACGGGCCCUAGAGAUGUGGGGCAGGACCUCCGGGUCCUUCCUUAUGGUGUUGCCCUAGAGAUGUGGGGCUUGGAUGCUGAGGGCCUUCUCUAUGGGGCAGAGAUGUGGGGCCCAGAUCCUUCCCUAUGGGGCAGAGAUGUGGGGCUCGGACACCCCAUGGGCCCUAGAGAUGUGGGACCCAGAACCUUCCCUAUGGGGCCUAGAUCCUUCCCUAUGGGGCAGAGCUGUGGGUCCCGGACACCCCAUGGGCCCUAGAGAUGUGGGGCAGGAGCCCUGGGUCCUUCCUUAUGGUGGUGCCCUAGAGAUGUGGGGCUUGAAUGCUGAGGGCCUUCUCUAUGGGGCAGAGAUGUGGGGCCCAGAUCCUUCUCUAUAGGGCAGAGAUGUGGGGCUGAGAUGCCCCGUGGGCCCUAGAGAUGUGGGGCGGGACGCCCGGGUCCUUCCCUAUGGGGCAGAGCUGUGGGGCCCAGAACCUUCCCUAUGGGGCCCAGAUCCUUCUCUAUGGGGCAGAGAUGUGGGGCCCAGAACCUUCCCUAUGGGGCCCUGAUCCUUCCCUAUGGGGCAGAGCUGUGGGUCCCGGAUGCCUGGAUCCUUCCCCACGUUGGAGCCCUAGAGAUGUGGGUCCCGUUCCCGCCCUCCCCGCCGUGGGUCGCGCCGUGGGUCGCGCCGUGGGUCGCUCACCGACGGUCUCGGCGAUGAGGAGCAUGAGGCCCCCGACGUGGAGGUCCCCGGUGACGCGGAGGGAGAGGGUUUGGGGGUCGCCCGUGGGGCCGGGGGUCGCCGCCGUGGGGCUCCCGGGGGUCGCUAUGGGGCCGGGCUGCCCCACGGCGUCGCCCUCCUCCACGUCCACCAGCAGCUCGAAGGAGCCGUCGAUGGUCUCCCCCGUCGCCGUCUUCAGCCCCGACAUCGCCCCCCAAUCUAUGGGUCGCUGCCCCACGGAUUUGGGGCUUCCCUCCCCUCCCCAAUCCUGCCCCACAACUCCUUCCUGCCCCACAGGGGGGGGGGGGGCGGAUGUCGGGGUACUUCCCUGUGGGGCUGAGAUGUGGGGCCGGAUGUCCCUAGAGAUGUGGGGCGGGG